This 24-nucleotide non-coding RNA is filed under the name Drosophila erecta. Lineage: Eukaryota; Metazoa; Arthropoda; Insecta; Diptera; Drosophilidae. RNAcentral also lists the same sequence under 12 other names. The record is from RNAcentral.
UGGAAGACUUGUGAUUUUGUUGUU